GCUUACGGCCACACUGCCUAGUUCACGCCCGAUCUCGUUUGAUCUCGGAAGCUAAAAUAGGUUGGGCCUGGUUAGUACUUGCAUGGGAGACUGCCUGGGAAUACCAGGUGCUGUAAGCU
Molecule: ribosomal RNA, 119 nt
Organism: Scophthalmus maximus (turbot)
Lineage: Eukaryota; Metazoa; Chordata; Actinopteri; Pleuronectiformes; Scophthalmidae
Source: Ensembl